Molecule: ribosomal RNA, 446 nt
Filed under: uncultured bacterium
Lineage: Bacteria
Description: bacterial SSU rRNA
Rfam family: Bacterial small subunit ribosomal RNA
Source: RNAcentral
AAUGAACGUUGGCGGCGUGGAUUAGGCAUGCAAGUCGUGCGAGAAGCUUCCUUCGGGAAGUGGACAGCGGCGAAAGGGAGAGUAAUACGUAGAAAUCUGCCCCUGAGUCCGGGAUAGCGUUGGGAAACUGGCGGUAAUACCGGAUAACGUCUUCGGACCAAAGGUGUGAUUCCGCUUGGGGAUGAGUCUACGUCCUAUUAGCUAGUUGGUGGGGUAAUGGCCUACCAAGGCAACGAUGGGUAGCGGGUGUGAGAGCAUGAUCCGCCUCACUGGGACUGAGACACUGCCCAGACACCUACGGGAGGCAGCAGUGGGAAUUUUCCGCAAUGGGCGAAAGCCUGACGGAGCAAGACCGCGUGGGGGAGGAAGGUUUUUGGAUCGUAAACCCUUUGUCAAGGAAGAAGCUCUGACGGUACUUGACGAAUAAGCCUCGGCUAAACUCCGUG